This 497-nucleotide ribosomal RNA is filed under the name uncultured bacterium. RNAcentral's name for it is "partial 16S ribosomal RNA". It matches the Rfam family "Bacterial small subunit ribosomal RNA", at positions 28 to 507 of the family's 1533-position model. The record is from RNAcentral.
GAUGAACGCUGGCGGCGUGCCUAAUACAUGCAAGUCGAGCGAACGGACGAGAAGCUUGCUUUUCUGAUGUUAGCGGCGGACGGGUGAGUAACACGUGGAUAACCUACCUAUAAGACGGGGAUAACUUCGGGAAACCGGAGCUAAGACCGGAUAAUAUUUUGAACCGCAUGGUUCAAAAGUGAAAGACGGUCUUGCUGUCACUUAUAGAUGGAUCCGCGCUGCAUUAGCUAGUUGGUAAGGUAACGGCUUACCAAGGCAACGAUGCAGAGCCGACCUGAGAGGGUGAUCGGCCACACUGGCACUGAGACCCGGUCCAGACUCCUCCGGUCGGCAGCAGUAGGGAAUCUUCCGCAAUGGGCGAAAGCCUGACGGAGCAACGCCGCGUGAGUGAUGAAGGUCUUCGGAUCCUACAACUCUGUUAUCAGGGAAGAACAUAUGUGUAAGUAACUGUGCACAUCUUGACGGUACCUAAUCAGAAAGCCCCGGCUAACUCCGUG